AUGUUCUGGAAUCUUUUCUUCAGCAUUCUGUCAGAUAGUCUUACAGCAUGUUCUUUGAAGCACAACUCACAGUUCCUUUUUGAUAUCUGCCUUUUGCCAUCUAUGGACAAUUAUGAUUCUUUGUCUGGUUGUUUCUAAUAUUGAGCUGGAAUAUAUCCCUCCAUAGCUUCUCACUGGUCCACAUUGUAUUCUCUACUCAGAGGUGUUGGUGAUCCAGUAGAAAUAUCAUCCAAGAAAGUGGGUCAAUGAUGAGUCUCAGCUUUGCUGGUUUGGGGGUUGGGUUAGAAGAAGCCAAUCCAAGAUGAAGAGGCAAAUGAUAUGAGAAGCUUGUUCGGUCCAUCCCUGUAGAGGAGGGGCCAAGAGGACUCCAGAAAUGCUCUCCCGUGGAGGAGGAAAGAUGACCUCUUCCAGAUUAAAGCUGCCUGGGGCUGAGCAGAGACUGGUUUCUUUAGCUGGGCAGGAGGCUCUCUAACCUCAAACUUUAACGAACCUAUUAAUAACUUGGUGAUUUUAGUAAAAUACAGAUUCUGAUUCACUGGUUUGAGGUUGGGUUCCAGAUUCUGAGUUUCCACAAUUCUUCUGUGUGAUGCCCGUGCGCCAGGUCCCCUGACCUCACCCUGAGCGCAGCACUCUAGGAGACUCGCGGUGCAUACCUGCUCAGGGGAGCCAGAAUCCUCUGAGUCAAGUUAGUCAAGUCAGAGUUUUCCAAACUUGCUUUAUCAUAAUCGCCUGGGAGUUCUUCUUGUAAAUAUAGAUUACCACUUCUAAUUUCACGUGUGCUAAAUAAUACUUUUUAGGAAAAAGGCUUAGAAUUUUAUUUUUUAUUUUCAGUAAAUACCCCAGGUGGUUCUUAUGAUUAGCAAGUUUGCGAAACAUGAACUUAACGCGGUGUUUUUCCUGGUCGGUCUUCAGCCCGCAGCCAGGCUGACAGCACCAGCAUCCGCUCUCCUGAGGAGCUGACUGGAAAUGAGCUUGGAUAUUCUCACUGAACGUUAGAACUCAGAUCUCCCCAAGACCCCGAUGCGCCCCCGGCUUGACACCUAUCACAGCAUGGCUUGCCACUCGGUGCCAUGUCCGCACCCGGGAUCCAAACUGGUGAACCCCGGGCUGUCAGAGCAGAAUGUGUGAAUUUAACUGCUGGGCCACUGGGUCAGCCCCUAUAAGGCACCUGGUCGAGCCCGUAUCCAGAAAGGACAGACGGAAUCUCUCUCUCUUGCUUUCAUUUGGAUCCCGUUCUUCUUUAAUCGUGCUGGUUCUGUCUCAUCCUUGUCCUUUCCUAUAUCCCACAUUGACCUGUGUCCACUCACCUUGGAACGGCCCUUUCUUUACAUUAGAUUUGAUUGGUUAUCUGUGGGGUUUUCAGUGUCUCUGACAGUAAUUGGUCAAUAUUUAAAAAUUUGGGUUUAGAGUGUUCAUCAGUUGUAUUUAUUUAGCAAUAGUAUAUUAUUCUACUUGAUUUUUAAAAACAGACCCAUGAAAAUGCUGGAGGUUAGACAAAUGCAGGCUGUGAACCAACAUGUGCAUUUUAAUUAAGUGUGUAGCAGCUGUUUUGGAAUGUAUUUAUCUCUAGGCUUCACCACUGUUUAAGGCUUAAUAAUUUGUCAUUUGUUACAGAGAAGACAAUUUCUGACCUGAGUGGUAUUUAACGGAUCUUCAUCCAUUGUGAAUAAAACAAACAAUGACAAUAAAGUCCAAUCCACUCUAUGGUUAUAUCCUGUGUCAAUUAUAAACAUCUCUUUAAUGUAGUAACAUGUGCCUUUACCAUUUAUGUGUCACCUCUACUUGCAUAAAGUAGGCUCUCUCUGUGUUUUAAUAUGUUUACCAUAAUUAACCCUG
Long non-coding RNA from Equus caballus (horse), 1836 nucleotides. NCBI's taxonomy places the organism in Eukaryota, Metazoa, Chordata, Mammalia, Perissodactyla, Equidae. The record is from Ensembl.